GCCACUAGGGAACGGGCUGCAUGGUGGCGUCCAUGUGACAGAAAACAUCAGAACAGACUGAAGGCUUCGGAGACAGGAGAGGGGCCUGGCCUCGAGCAGAGACUCUGGCAGCUAAGACCUCUGAAGCCCUCUCGUUUGGAUUUACAGAGGAAGAAACAGAGCCACGGUUCAAACCUUGACCCUUCAGCUCUAGGAUCCAUCCUUGAGUUGUGGUUGUCAAAGAAAGUGGUAUUUCCUGUGUGGAUACCUAGAAAUUAUAGUUAUAAACACCCCAGAGAAGACUGCAUGGGGCCAAUUUGCCUGCACAGAAUGGCUCUAGAUCUUCACCCCCUUUCCCAGGACUGGAUUCAUCUGAGGUCGUUACGGGGAUCACUUCACCACCACCUUGGAUGUUCUGUUCUGCUUCAUUUUUCCCUCCUGUAGAGAAACAUGGUUUGAUCCUCUAAGCUACAGAUCUGUUGUACUAACUAUUUCAAAAGUAUUUGCAUUUAAAAGGAGAGGGUAGUGCUUAAUAAAAUAAAGGUGUAUACAUAUAUGUAUAUUUGG
Bos indicus x Bos taurus (hybrid cattle) is the source of this 546-nucleotide long non-coding RNA. The record is from Ensembl. NCBI's taxonomy places the organism in Eukaryota, Metazoa, Chordata, Mammalia, Artiodactyla, Bovidae.